CAAGAAGAGAAAACAACAUUAAAAUAAGUAAUUAAAAAUAACAAUCCCCGGCGACACGGCGCCAAAAAUUUGAUAGGAUUAAAAGCACACCACAAAGUAGCACACAAAUGUCCUAUUGAUUUUCCUUAUUAACACUAAGAUUUGUCAAUUGUAGCAUAUGAAAAUAAGGGUCUUUCCCGCAGAAGAUUGUUUUAUCUAACUACCUAAACUGUCACAAAAACUGGGUUGCUGUCCCUACUGACCAGCCACCGGAAAAUAAUUAUUAGACUGACUUAUACAUAUCUAAAGUCUACGAAAUUUUAUAUGUAGAUACUAGACACACAAAGCUACACUCACACAAAUGUUUGGGAUUUUUGGAGUUGAUUUGCUAUUUAAAUUAAAUCGAAAAAAAAAACAGGAUAGAAACAAAUUUUAAGUAGUUCACAAAUUAAGAAAAACGAG
Molecule: long non-coding RNA, 441 nt
Filed under: Malus domestica (apple)
Lineage: Eukaryota; Viridiplantae; Streptophyta; Magnoliopsida; Rosales; Rosaceae
Description: long non-coding RNA (MDOM_LNC016952)
Source: RNAcentral